RNAcentral lists this transfer RNA (72 nucleotides) under Pythium insidiosum. Its description in RNAcentral is "tRNA-iMet". Lineage: Eukaryota; Oomycota; Peronosporomycetes; Pythiales; Pythiaceae. The record is from RNAcentral.
AGCACUUUGGCGCAGAGAAGCGUGUUGGGCUCAUAACCCAAAGGUCUUGGAUCGGAGACCAACAAGUGGCUA